RNAcentral lists this ribosomal RNA (2904 nucleotides) under Escherichia coli DEC15B. Its description in RNAcentral is "bacterial LSU rRNA". It matches the Rfam family "Bacterial large subunit ribosomal RNA". Lineage: Bacteria; Pseudomonadati; Pseudomonadota; Gammaproteobacteria; Enterobacterales; Enterobacteriaceae. The record is from RNAcentral.
UUAAGCGACUAAGCGUACACGGUGGAUGCCCUGGCAGUCAGAGGCGAUGAAGGACGUGCUAAUCUGCGAUAAGCGUCGGUAAGGUGAUAUGAACCGUUAUAACCGGCGAUUUCCGAAUGGGGAAACCCAGUGUGAUUCGUCACACUAUCAUUAACUGAAUCCAUAGGUUAAUGAGGCGAACCGGGGGAACUGAAACAUCUAAGUACCCCGAGGAAAAGAAAUCAACCGAGAUUCCCCCAGUAGCGGCGAGCGAACGGGGAGCAGCCCAGAGCCUGAAUCAGUGUGUGUGUUAGUGGAAGCGUCUGGAAAGGCGCGCGAUACAGGGUGACAGCCCCGUACACAAAAAUGCACAUACUGUGAGCUCGAUGAGUAGGGCGGGACACGUGGUAUCCUGUCUGAAUAUGGGGGGGCCAUCCUCCAAGGCUAAAUACUCCUGACUGACCGAUAGUGAACCAGUACCGUGAGGGAAAGGCGAAAAGAACCCCGGCGAGGGGAGUGAAAAAGAACCUGAAACCGUGUACGUACAAGCAGUGGGAGCACAGAGCAAUCUGUGUGACUGCGUACCUUUUGUAUAAUGGGUCAGCGACUUAUAUUCUGUAGCAAGGUUAACCGAAUAGGGGAGCCGAAGGGAAACCGAGUCUUAACUGGGCGUUAAGUUGCAGGGUAUAGACCCGAAACCCGGUGAUCUAGCCAUGGGCAGGUUGAAGGUUGGGUAACACUAACUGGAGGACCGAACCGACUAAUGUUGAAAAAUUAGCGGAUGACUUGUGGCUGGGGGUGAAAGGCCAAUCAAACCGGGAGAUAGCUGGUUCUCCCCGAAAGCUAUUUAGGUAGCGCCUCGUGAAUUCAUCUCCGGGGGUAGAGCACUGUUUCGGCAAGGGGGUCAUCCCGACUUACCAACCCGAUGCAAACUGCGAAUACCGGAGAAUGUUAUCACGGGAGACACACGGCGGGUGCUAACGUCCGUCGUGAAGAGGGAAACAACCCAGACCGCCAGCUAAGGUCCCAAAGUCAUGGUUAAGUGGGAAACGAUGUGGGAAGGCCCAGACAGCCAGGAUGUUGGCUUAGAAGCAGCCAUCAUUUAAAGAAAGCGUAAUAGCUCACUGGUCGAGUCGGCCUGCGCGGAAGAUGUAACGGGGCUAAACCAUGCACCGAAGCUGCGGCAGCGACGCUUAUGCGUUGUUGGGUAGGGGAGCGUUCUGUAAGCCUGCGAAGGUGUGCUGUGAGGCAUGCUGGAGGUAUCAGAAGUGCGAAUGCUGACAUAAGUAACGAUAAAGCGGGUGAAAAGCCCGCUCGCCGGAAGACCAAGGGUUCCUGUCCAACGUUAAUCGGGGCAGGGUGAGUCGACCCCUAAGGCGAGGCCGAAAGGCGUAGUCGAUGGGAAACAGGUUAAUAUUCCUGUACUUGGUGUUACUGCGAAGGGGGGACGGAGAAGGCUAUGUUGGCCGGGCGACGGUUGUCCCGGUUUAAGCGUGUAGGCUGGUUUUCCAGGCAAAUCCGGAAAAUCAAGGCUGAGGCGUGAUGACGAGGCACUACGGUGCUGAAGCAACAAAUGCCCUGCUUCCAGGAAAAGCCUCUAAGCAUCAGGUAACAUCAAAUCGUACCCCAAACCGACACAGGUGGUCAGGUAGAGAAUACCAAGGCGCUUGAGAGAACUCGGGUGAAGGAACUAGGCAAAAUGGUGCCGUAACUUCGGGAGAAGGCACGCUGAUACGUAGGUGAAGUCCCUCGCGGAUGGAGCUGAAAUCAGUCGAAGAUACCAGCUGGCUGCAACUGUUUAUUAAAAACACAGCACUGUGCAAACACGAAAGUGGACGUAUACGGUGUGACGCCUGCCCGGUGCCGGAAGGUUAAUUGAUGGGGUCAGCGCAAGCGAAGCUCUUGAUCGAAGCCCCGGUAAACGGCGGCCGUAACUAUAACGGUCCUAAGGUAGCGAAAUUCCUUGUCGGGUAAGUUCCGACCUGCACGAAUGGCGUAAUGAUGGCCAGGCUGUCUCCACCCGAGACUCAGUGAAAUUGAACUCGCUGUGAAGAUGCAGUGUACCCGCGGCAAGACGGAAAGACCCCGUGAACCUUUACUAUAGCUUGACACUGAACAUUGAGCCUUGAUGUGUAGGAUAGGUGGGAGGCUUUGAAGUGUGGACGCCAGUCUGCAUGGAGCCGACCUUGAAAUACCACCCUUUAAUGUUUGAUGUUCUAACGUGGACCCGUGAUCCGGGUUGCGGACAGUGUCUGGUGGGUAGUUUGACUGGGGCGGUCUCCUCCUAAAGAGUAACGGAGGAGCACGAAGGUUGGCUAAUCCUGGUCGGACAUCAGGAGGUUAGUGCAAUGGCAUAAGCCAGCUUGACUGCGAGCGUGACGGCGCGAGCAGGUGCGAAAGCAGGUCAUAGUGAUCCGGUGGUUCUGAAUGGAAGGGCCAUCGCUCAACGGAUAAAAGGUACUCCGGGGAUAACAGGCUGAUACCGCCCAAGAGUUCAUAUCGACGGCGGUGUUUGGCACCUCGAUGUCGGCUCAUCACAUCCUGGGGCUGAAGUAGGUCCCAAGGGUAUGGCUGUUCGCCAUUUAAAGUGGUACGCGAGCUGGGUUUAGAACGUCGUGAGACAGUUCGGUCCCUAUCUGCCGUGGGCGCUGGAGAACUGAGGGGGGCUGCUCCUAGUACGAGAGGACCGGAGUGGACGCAUCACUGGUGUUCGGGUUGUCAUGCCAAUGGCACUGCCCGGUAGCUAAAUGCGGAAGGGAUAAGUGCUGAAAGCAUCUAAGCACGAAACUUGCCCCGAGAUGAGUUCUCCCUGACUCCUUGAGAGUCCUGAAGGAACGUUGAAGACGACGACGUUGAUAGGCCGGGUGUGUAAGCGCAGCGAUGCGUUGAGCUAACCGGUACUAAUGAACCGUGAGGCUUAACCUU